CUGACCGUAAACUAUGCCAUCUAGCGAGUUUCGGGUGGAUUUUUUUGCCCUUGAAACGAGCUUCCCGGAAACGAAAGUCUUUCGGUUCCGGGGGAAGUAUGGUUGCAAAGCUGAAACUUAAAGGGAUUGACGGAAGGUCCCCCCCAGAAAUGGGGCCUGCGGUUUAAUUUGACUCAACACGGGAAAACUCACCCGGUCCGGACACUAUAAGGAUUGACAGACCGAUAGCUCUUUCAUGAUUUGGUGGUUGGUGGUGCAUGGCCGUUCUUAGUUCGUGGAGUGAUUUGUCUGGUUUAUUCCGAUAACGAACGAGAUUAUAGCCUAGUUAAAUAGUCAAUUGAUUAUAAUUGUCGAUUGACUUCUUAUCGGGAUAUGCGGUUUUUAACCGUACGAAACUUAGCAAUAACAGGUCUGUGAUGCCCUUAGAUGUCCGGGGCUACACGCGCGCCACAAUGGACUGUUCAGUCCGUUGUUUCCAUGUUCGAGAGGACUUGGUAAGCGUGUCAAAUUAGUCCGUAUUUGGGCUCGGACAUUGCAAUUAUUCUCCUUAAACAAGGAAUUUCAAGUAAGUGAAGCACAGCUACCGG
RNAcentral lists this ribosomal RNA (587 nucleotides) under Panagrolaimoidea sp. NK2011_6. RNAcentral describes it as "bacterial SSU rRNA". It matches the Rfam family "Eukaryotic small subunit ribosomal RNA", at positions 1026 to 1638 of the family's 1831-position model. Lineage: Eukaryota; Metazoa; Nematoda; Chromadorea; Rhabditida. The record is from RNAcentral.